This 2157-nucleotide long non-coding RNA is filed under the name Brachypodium distachyon (stiff brome). Its description in RNAcentral is "long non-coding RNA (BDIS_LNC002963)". Lineage: Eukaryota; Viridiplantae; Streptophyta; Magnoliopsida; Poales; Poaceae. The record is from RNAcentral.
AAUAGGUGAAACUCCGGUGAAAUCUUCGUUUUCCCGUGUGGUAUCAUACUUGCCCCUUUACUUACUUGUUUUACUUCAUUGUCUAUACUUUGCUUCGGCUAGUGCUUCGGCUAGUGCACUUCAUACUAGGGUUGCAUUCCUGUUAGAGAAUUUAGUGAACCCUAAGAUUAAGUGUUUGUAUCUUUCAAGAAAAAAAAUUAAAAAGUAAAAUUUGUUAGUUGCCUAUUCACCCCCCUCUAGUCGACCAUACCGAUCUUUCAAAAGGGCAGGCACGUGGCAUGCCGCGAGCCGGCCACGCGUGCCACGGUGUGGCCCCCCUGUCGGGCCUUUGCCGGCAUUCGGGGAAAAAGCCGCCGGCAAAGGGCGGGCACGUGGCACGAUCUGGUGCGUGCCCGCGCUUAGCCUUUGCCGGGGGCCAGGACUGUGGCCGCCGACAAAGGGUAUUUUUUUUGUUUUUUUUAUCGCAGCAAUUUGAAAUAUUUUCACAGCACAUAUAUACAGAUAUAUACUCAUCCACAUUAUAGCAAUACAUCCACACAAAAUCAUAGACGCAUCCACGUAACGCAUUCACAUCACAAUUGACAUCUCAUGAAAGACCGAAACAUCACAUAUCUCACAACAAAAGUAUUACAAGUGUUCCUCACAUGGUAGCAUGUAACAUCCCAUUUUUUCAAAACCCUUCAUAUGAAUUGCAUUUCAUCAGCAUCAUGUCACCUUUGCAUUUAAUCACAUUUAAAACCCUUAAGUGUAACUCAGAAAACCCAUUAACAAAAGUACUUUUAUUUGGAUCUGGCUUUCUUCUUACUUUUGGUUAAUUGCAUUUUAACCCAUGAGGGUUUUAGCAUAAAAAGGGGUUUAAUGCAUUUAUAAAGCUACCCCAUAUCUUGGCAUUUGAAUUUGAUUUGAAUCACAAAUUAUUUUUAAUAGCUAGAAAGCCCUAAAGGCUAGUUUAUAGGCAAAAAUAUUUUUUAAAAUAUUUUAUUUUGAGGGAAUUCUUGUCCCAAAAAGUUGAAUCAUAUGAAAAUACGAUUUUACAAAUUUUGUUGAAAAUUAUUUGGUUUAAAUUGGAGCUUUGAAUCAAAAUUGGUAUUCAAAAACAGAAAUAGAAAAGGAAAAAAGAAAUGAAGAAAAAAAAAGAAACAUCGGCCGGCCCGGCCAAAUGGGCUGAACCGGCGCACUCACCUGAGCCCGACCGAGCCGGCCCAGCCCACGCGCUGCCCGUGCCGAUGACAGGUGGACCCCACUGUCAGGCCCCCGUCUUCGUCUCCAACUGCCUCCUCUUUCCCCGGCCACGACCGCGUUCGAACCGGCCACGACUCCUCCCGAUUUCUCCUGCCACGCAGCCCCACUUUCGAAUUGGAGCGCGUCUGUAACAUCCCAAAAAUUUCAAACUUUCACAUGUGCAUUGCAUCCAUGAGCAUCAUGCCACAAUUGCAUGUUUGAAUUCUAAUUUGAAUCUCAAAAGGCUUUGAAAAGAUUUUUAUUUCAAUUUAAACCCUAGGGUUUACACCCAUUUGAGCUUUGGAUCUUCAAACCAAUAAGGUUUAUUUAUAAAAGGGGUUUAUUGCAUAAAUAAGCUAUCCCAUAAUUUUUGGAUAAUUAUUUGGAGUUGGAAAACUAUUUUAUUUAAAUAGUGAUAUAGCCCUAAAGGUAUUUAUAGGGCAAAUGUAUUUUUAUAUAUUUUAUUUUGAGGGGAAAUUACUCCCAAAAGUUGAAUCAUGAUAAAACAUGAUUUUACAAAUUUUCUGGAAUUUAUUUGGACCAAUUUGGAGUUCAAAAUCAAAAGACAUCAAAGAAAUAAGAAAAACAGAAAAAAGAAAAGGCUAAAAGAAAAAAGAAGGGAAAGAACCGGACCGGCCCGGUCAAAUGGGCCGAACCGGCCCAGAAAACCGACCGCGCCCAAACCAACCCGCGUGUGCGCCCGCUCCCACUGACGCGUGGGACCCACGGGUCAGGGUCUUCGUCUUCGUUUGGAAACCGCCCGUCAGGGCGCGACGCGCGCGCGCCGUGGCCGCCACCAUCCGCGCCACCCGUCAGCUCCGAACUUCCCGCGAUCUGCCUCCCGCACCCCUAUAAAGAGCGCCAUGCCCGCUCUCUUUCCCCCUUUUCCCCACUGCCGAUUGCGCUACCGAAUCGCCUCGAUUCCUCGCCGGAGAA